This is a small nuclear RNA of Ochotona curzoniae (black-lipped pika), 108 nucleotides long. NCBI's taxonomy places the organism in Eukaryota, Metazoa, Chordata, Mammalia, Lagomorpha, Ochotonidae. The record is from RefSeq and is a predicted model, not a curated record.
UGGUGCUCUAUUCCACAUCACAUAACUAAAAUUGGAGCUAUAGAGAAAAGAUUAUCAUGGCCCCUGUGCAAUGAUGACAUGCAAAUUUGUGAAGCAUUCCAUUAAAAA